AGGGGGAGAGCUCAGUAGUAGAGCAUGUGCUUAGCAUGCACGAGGGCCUGGGUUCAAUCCCCAGUCCCUCCA
This 72-nucleotide transfer RNA is filed under the name Camelus bactrianus (Bactrian camel). It matches the Rfam family "tRNA". Rfam says of the family: Transfer RNA (tRNA) molecules are approximately 80 nucleotides in length. Their secondary structure includes four short double-helical elements and three loops (D, anti-codon, and T loops). The record is from Rfam by way of RNAcentral. RNAcentral also lists the same sequence under 2 other names. Lineage: Eukaryota; Metazoa; Chordata; Mammalia; Artiodactyla; Camelidae.